GCUGGGUGUGGUGACGCAUGCCUGUAAUCCCAGCUACUUGGGAGGCUGAGGCAGGAGAAUUGCUUGAACCCAGGAGGAGGAGGUUGUGGUGAGCUAAGAUCACACCACUGCACUCCAGCCUGGGUGACAGAGCAAGACCCCAUCUCAA
Homo sapiens (human) is the source of this 148-nucleotide non-coding RNA. It matches the Rfam family "Metazoan signal recognition particle RNA". Rfam says of the family: The signal recognition particle (SRP) is a universally conserved ribonucleoprotein. The record is from Rfam. NCBI's taxonomy places the organism in Eukaryota, Metazoa, Chordata, Mammalia, Primates, Hominidae.